This 593-nucleotide long non-coding RNA is filed under the name Homo sapiens (human). Its description in RNAcentral is "HSALNT0308331". The record is from RNAcentral. Lineage: Eukaryota; Metazoa; Chordata; Mammalia; Primates; Hominidae.
CGCUAGGUUUCCGUCUGGCGCCGAUCCGGCUGCGUCACGCCGGCCGAACGACACCCCGCUGAGUCGCCGCCGCAGGGAAGGUACCUUCGGCCCCAACGGGAAAAGCCAAUUUCCAGUAAUUCGCGCCCGACCACCGGGGAGUGAAUGUUUCCCUCUGAGGAUGAAGAUCACUAUAAACAACUCUGAUGAGAUCAUGCUGACACAAUGCCCCUUCUGUCAAAGCCAUGGAUCCAAUUGUUGAAGGCUACAAAAAUAAGGUAUUUGUGAAAAUGAUAUGCUAAAUUUUGUUUAAGAGAAAUAUACAACUCCCCCUGGGGCUAUUUGAAACAACGAAGUGCUGGGGAGGGAAAGAAGGAAAAACAGAAAAGAAUAUAUGGAUGACUCCCACUGUGAUUAAGAAAAACUGAGAACCACAGAAAAGGAAGAACACAGACAUCGAGGGAAUCAAAAGGAGUCCAAAGCCUAGGGUUACAUUUCUGACAUAUAACUGAGCAUUUUUCUAUAGUAUACUAAUUUUGCACUGUCAAAAGAUAACUGAACCACAGCACCAAUAAGUUAUGUCAACAACUUGUCAAACAUGACACUUUGCAAAA